RNAcentral lists this ribosomal RNA (468 nucleotides) under uncultured bacterium. RNAcentral describes it as "partial 16S ribosomal RNA". It matches the Rfam family "Bacterial small subunit ribosomal RNA", at positions 28 to 507 of the family's 1533-position model. The record is from RNAcentral.
GACGAACGCUGGCGGCGUGCUUAACACAUGCAAGUCGAACGGAAAGGCCCUGCUUUUGUGGGGUGCUCGAGUGGCGAGCGGGUGAGUAACACGUGAGUAACCUGCCCUUGACUUUGGGAUAACUUCAGGAAACUGGGGCUAAUACCGGAUAGGAGCUCCUGCUGCAUGGUGGGGGUUGGAAAGUUUCGGCUGUUGGGGAUGGCCUCGCGGCUUAUCAGCUUGUUGGUGGGGUAGUGGCUUACCAAGGCUUUGACGGGUAGCCGGCCUGGGAGGGUGAACGGCCACAUGGGGACUGAGAUACGGCCCAGACUGGUAUGGGAGGCAGCAGGGGGGAAUAUUGCACAAUGGGCGGAAGCCUGAUGCAGCAACGCCGCGUGCGGGAUGACGGCUUUCGGGUUGUAAACCGCUUUCGCCUGUGACGAAGCGUGAGUGACGGUAAUGGGUAAAGAAGCACCGGCUAACUACGUG